Molecule: ribosomal RNA, 397 nt
Filed under: uncultured eukaryote
Lineage: Eukaryota
Description: SSU rRNA
Rfam family: Eukaryotic small subunit ribosomal RNA
Source: RNAcentral
UGAAACUGCGAAUGGCUCAUUAAAUCAGUUAUAAUUUAUUUGAUAAUACCUUACUACUUGGAUAACCGUGGUAAUUCUAGUGCUAAUACAUGCUUUAAGGCCCGACUUCUGGAAGGGCUGUAUCUAUUAGAUUAAAAACCAAUCGUAGCAAUACGUUUACUGGUGAAUCAUGAUAACUUUUCGAAUCGCAUAGCUUUGCUGGCGAUGGUUCAAUCAAAUUUCUGCCCUAUCACCUUUCGAUGGUAGUAUAGAGGACUACCAUGGGCGCAACGGGUAACGGAGAAUUAGGGUUCGAUUCCGGAGAGGGAGCCUGAGAAACGGCUACCACAUCCAAGGAAGGCAGCGGGCGCGCAAAUUACCCAAUUCCGAUACGGAGAGGUAGUGACAAUAAAUAACA